RNAcentral lists this long non-coding RNA (1404 nucleotides) under Cyanistes caeruleus (blue tit). Its description in RNAcentral is "lncRNA (ENSCCEG00000012566.1)". Lineage: Eukaryota; Metazoa; Chordata; Aves; Passeriformes; Paridae. The record is from RNAcentral.
UGUCAGUCAAAUGCCAUCCAAAGCUUCUCAUUGGUAGCUGAUGCUGGCCCCGCCUCCCCGCGGUCGGUGAGGGGCCGGUGCUGAGGGAGCACUCCCAGAGCGGCUCCGCUCCGGGAGCCGGGCGGGUUUGGGGUUGUGUCCGGACCAGCGAGAAUUGUGGAGCCCUCUCAGACCCCACAGCGACCCCUCCGACACACAAAUCCCCUUUGGAACCCUCCCUGGGGCCGUAGGAUCUGUGAGAGGGGUCGGGGAUCCAGGACGGCGUCCUUUCCGUCCCUAUCAGAUCUUACGGAGAAAGGCAGAUACUACGUUGAGAGGAGUGCAAAGGCGAUUUUAUUUUCUUUUUCCCUCACCCAAACAGCGGUAUCCUCUAUCCAGCGUUCUGUGCUUGUGCCUCUAGUAAUACAAACCACUUUAUAAAUACCAGCCAGAAAACCGUAUUUCGGGUGAGAUGUCCAGAUGUGCGGCUGUUAAGUGGAUUUGGGACUCACCCUGUUCUAAAAGAGUGAAGAGAAGCAAAGUUUAAAAGACCUUGCUCAAGCCUAUUUUUUCAGCUUUGAGGCUUUACAUCGCUUCCUUAUUAGUCCUUAGGUGUCUCAUCAAUGAAUCUUGGUGACAAAAGCCCGGAGGAAGCCAGCCCAGCUCUUCUCUGUCACAGAGCACAAGGGCAAAGCAGAGGAAAAUUACUAAAUCACUGAAGCCAAACCCAUAAAGUAGCAUUUUAAAUCAAUGCUUACUGGAAAAGCCGAUAAGGAACUUUGAUGAUCUAGACUUAAAAGACCACUGAAAAUAUUCUUAUAUCUGUGAAUUGAAUAAUCAUAUGUUUACUUCUGUAUUUCAUGAAAAAAAAAAAAAUCUGCGAUGCAUCUUACUCAUAUCCUUGCAAUACAGGGAGGAAAAAUGCCCUGAAAAGGUAAACCAGCAUGAGAAAUGGUCACUCAAAGUGAGUGCUUGGAAGCAGAGGUUAAGGCUCCCUUCUCAGAACUGCAAGUGCUCUUUCACCCCACAAACCAAAGGACUAUAUUUUAAGGAAAGGCAGGAAACACCAUUUUACGGAUUGAUUGCUUUCUUCCUGCUGAAAUGUAUGCAAAGCUUGAAAAGCAGCUUGCUCAAGGACCUGCCUGUGACCUACAUGAUACAGAACCAAAGAAAAGGAGAGUGAAACAGACCCUACAAGAUCAUCUAAUCCAACAGUUUGCCCAAGGAAAGAGUCCAGGGAACACUAAUAUCUGCUGAACUGCCUUGCCAAAACUCAGAUAUAAUGCCCCCAGUAAUGGCCUUCUCUUGCACCUUCAGACUCCUGCUUUGAUGUAAGGCACUGGAGUGCUCCAGGAGAGAGCUCUCUUCAGGAGCUGAGCUUCUGCCCUGCAGCUGUAACACAAUAAAGUUUAUCCCACUUGAUCA